GCACAUGACUUAGGCAGCAUCCGCCCACACAGUCAGCCCAUGCAGCCUUGGGCUGGUGCUAGGGGCUCUGAGAGGCUCACCCCAGUCCCAGCUGGUGGUCUCUGUGGAUUCCCCAGCCAGAUCAGGCAGAAGUGUUUGUGGUUUGCCCUCCCUGUCUGCCCCCAGCCAGAAUUCCAACCUGGCCAGUUCUAAAAGCUGAACCGUGAAGACUCAGCCCUGCCUGGAGCAGCCUUCCCUGGAGCCUGGCUGACUGCACCCACCAGCCGUCAGCUCUGGCCUAGAAACUUAGGGGUCCUGGAGACAGCAGGUCCUGCUACCUCCCUGUCCUCCAUUCAGCCUAAAUGUCCACCUCCUCAGGGGCCUGCCUUCAGCUCACCUGCAGACCAUAGAAGUCUCCCUGCUGUGCACUCAUCCCCUGCGCUUUGGCACUCCCUACUCCGCCCCAGGUGUUCUGCAACAUCGGUAGCAUGACAGAGGGCUUCUUAGAGAGAGGGCGCCCUUGCUACCAGGGUCCACAGGCUCAGUCUCAGCCUGGUUCCUGUUUGUGGUGCCCCUUUCUCAGGCCUGUGGGGAUGUCAGGAGCUUAGGACAGCGCCGGGCUCAAGAGAUGUGGCUACCUUCCCUCCUGCUUUCGGUACUCAGCGCAGGCAGGGUUCAGUGCAGCAAGUAACAGCUGUGGCUUACUGGAUUGUCUGCAACCAUUGGCGACUGAGAGAUCCCUGCAGCCCUCCCAGACCCUCGAUCUGACUGGAGCCAGGCCCACGUGGGGAAAGGGUUAAACGUUGGCAGUGACUUCACCCCUGCAUUGGAGCAGGCGGAGGCAGAGAACCUGCUGGAAGCUGUUCUGAACCAGAGAAGGAUGAAAAUAGCUGCCAAAGAUGUUGCCAUAGCAACUGCUUUCCUUCCUGACCUCCUUGGAAGUGAACUCCCUCAUUUUCCAGAGUAGUCAAGGAAUUUCUGUGCCUCUACCCAUGGCUUUGGUUACCAACUCAUCCCUGGGGGCCUUGGUUUCUUUCUGUGAAAUGGAAUAUUCAUUCCAGCACUCACCACCUUCUAGGCUGGAGUAAGGCUCCAACUUUGCAAAUGCUGUUAGUAAACUGUAGAGCUCCGUGCA
RNAcentral lists this long non-coding RNA (1114 nucleotides) under Homo sapiens (human). RNAcentral describes it as "long independently transcribed non-coding RNA 2736 (LINC02736)". The record is from RNAcentral. Lineage: Eukaryota; Metazoa; Chordata; Mammalia; Primates; Hominidae.